GACGAACGCUGGCGGCGUGCUUAACACAUGCAAGUCGAACGGAAAGGCCCUGCUUGCAGGGUACUCGAGUGGCGAACGGGUGAGUAACACGUGGGUGAUCUGCCCUGCACUUCGGGAUAAGCCUGGGACACUGGGUCUAAUACCGGAUAGGAGCAAUUUUUAGCGUGAUGGUUGGAAAGUUGUUUCGGUGUAGGAUGAGCUCGCGGCCUAUCAGCUUGUUGGUGGGGUAAUGGCCUACCAAGGCGGCGACGGGUAGCCGGCCUGAGAGGGUGGACGGCCACAUUGGGACUGAGAUACGGCCCAGACUCCUACGGGAGGCAGCAGUGGGGAAUAUUGCACAAUGGGCGCAAGCCUGAUGCAGCGACGCCGCGUGGGGGAUGACGGCCUUCGGGUUGUAAACUCCUUUCGCUAGGGACGAAGCUUUUUGUGACGGUACCUAGAUAAGAAGCACCGGCUAACUACGUGCCAGCAGCCGCCGUAA
RNAcentral lists this ribosomal RNA (481 nucleotides) under uncultured bacterium. RNAcentral describes it as "partial 16S ribosomal RNA". It matches the Rfam family "Bacterial small subunit ribosomal RNA", at positions 28 to 523 of the family's 1533-position model. The record is from RNAcentral.